CGGCUCGUGAGGGGCCCCGGGCAGGAGCGGCGCAAGCCCGGUGGGGUUUGAGCGCUGCCAGGUCUGAGGGAAGGCGGUUCCGCUCCCCAGACAGGCCCUAUGGUUCAGCCGGACGGUUCCGCGGCCGCUUCCCCCGGGGCGGAGGCCGAGCUUGGGCCCCGGAGAGGCGGAAUGUCGGCUGUUCGCUCGCCAAAAGCUGCAUUUCCAAGGCCUCCCAGCUCUCUAAGGGUCCCCCGCGGCAGGGCUCCCCGGGAGUGGCGUUUGUCCGCUUUUGAAGGGCUCAGGACGUGCGACAAGCGCUGCCCUUGGGCAGGGUUCGUGUUCCGGGCCCCGCUGUGCUUUGUGCUGAGCUCUGCUGCUCGCUGGAGAGGGCAGAACGCGGCGGGAUUCUUUGUGAAACCCUCGGCGUUUGAGGGGUGAAUGUGCCGCGCCUUUGUUCCCGGCUUCUCUGCAGCACGGUGCUCCCACCCUUCAGUCCCCUGCCAGCGCAUCCAGGCGCAUCCAGGAACGGCUUUGGCAUUCCAGGUGCUCAGGCCGUGUGACUCGUGAACUGCUCUGGAUUGAUGGAUUACCCACUUUUGUAAGAAUCUGGUUUUAAUAAACGCAUAGGCAUGGCUUACUUGAAUCCCCAAAUUUUGUAAAAUUGUAUUUCAUGCAGCUAGAUGACAGAGAAGGCAGGAAGAAAGUACUUUGUACUCAUCUCUGUGGUUUAUUGCUGUGUCUCAUGCUGUCACUGCAUAGAUGUAGAACAGGAUGUGGCUUCUUUUAUUGUAGCAUUAGAAUGCUUUACUCCUGGCCAGCUGCACAGCUUGUUUGUGUGCAGAACAGUUCUGAUGUUAAAAGGAGCAAACCUUAAACUAUGUAAGUUAAGCAUUGUGUGGUCUGUUCUGUUCCCAAAUUCGUGGUGCCUCCUGUGUCAUGGUGUCGGGUCAGGGGAGCUCAUGGGUGUUGCUGUUUUGGUGGCCAGCCUUUAAAUUCUUGAGCUGAACUGCCCUGGAUCAUAAACUGUCUUUAAUUGCAGGGAAUGAGCUGGAGAACACUGAGUUAUUCCCGUGGAACUUUAUGUUCUCCACACAAAAUUUAACUGCUGGUUUUGCUCAUGUUUCUGACUGUGAACUCUUUACUGUGAUAUCAGUCACACAUUAUGAAGCUGCAAAAGAAAUUACUUUGUAAAGAUGGUGAAAUGAGAGUGUGGGUUAACUUUAGGGAAGAAAAAAUAAAUUUAAAACUCCUCAUAAAUACAUGGAA
Molecule: non-coding RNA, 1248 nt
Organism: Agelaius phoeniceus (red-winged blackbird)
Lineage: Eukaryota; Metazoa; Chordata; Aves; Passeriformes; Icteridae
Source: RefSeq, a predicted model, not a curated record